CCUACGGGAGGCAGCAGUGAGGAAUAUUGGUCAAUGGGCGGAAGCCUGAACCAGCCAAGUCGCGUGAGGGAUUAAGGCCCUGCGGGUCGUAAACCUCUUUUGCCGGGGAGCAGAGGUCCGGACGUGUCCGGGCCGGGAGAGUACCCGGAGAAAAAGCAUCGACUAACUCCGUGCCAGCAGCCGCGGUAAUACGGGGGAUGCGAGCUUUAUCCGGAUUUAUUGGGUUUAAGGGGUGCGUAGGCGGGCAUUUAAGCCGGCGGUCAAAUGUCGGGGCUCAACCCCGGCCUGCCGUCGGAACUGGGUGCCUUGAGUGGGCGAGAAGUAUGCGGAAUGCGUGGUGUAGCGGUGAAAUGCAUAGAUAUCACGCAGAACCCCGAUUGCGAAGGCAGCAUACCGGCGCCCUACUGACGCUGAGGCACGAAAGUGCGGGUAUCGAACAGGAUUAGAUACCCCUGUAGUC
This 460-nucleotide ribosomal RNA is filed under the name uncultured bacterium. RNAcentral describes it as "partial 16S ribosomal RNA". It matches the Rfam family "Bacterial small subunit ribosomal RNA", at positions 338 to 795 of the family's 1533-position model. The record is from RNAcentral.